This 494-nucleotide ribosomal RNA is filed under the name uncultured bacterium. RNAcentral's name for it is "partial 16S ribosomal RNA". It matches the Rfam family "Bacterial small subunit ribosomal RNA", at positions 28 to 507 of the family's 1533-position model. The record is from RNAcentral.
GACGAACGCUGGCGGCGUGCUUAACACAUGCAAGUCGAACGGAAAGGCCUGCUUUCCCUUGUGGAUUGCGGGUACUCGAGUGGCGAACGGGUGAGUAACACGUGAGUGAUCUGCCCCCACCUUGGGUAUAAGCCGGGGAAACUGGUUCUAAUUCCCGAUAGGACUGAGGGGUGGUGCCUGUGGUGGAAAACGAUUUUCUAGUGGUUGGGGAUGAGCUCGCGGCCUAUCAGCUUGUUGGUGGGGUAAUGGCCUACCAAGGCGGCGACGGGUAGCCGGCCUGAGAGGGUGGACGGCCACAUUGGGACUGAGAUACGGCCCAGACUCCUACGGGAGGCAGCAGUGGGGAAUAUUGCACAAUGGGCGGAAGCCUGAUGCAGCGACGCCGCGUGGGGGAUGACGGCCUUCGGGUUGUAAACUCCUUUCGACCGCGAGGAAGCCACCUGGUUGGAAGGGUGGUGACGGUAGUGGUAGAAGAAGCACCGGCUAACUACGUG